Long non-coding RNA from Gallus gallus (chicken), 1968 nucleotides. The record is from Ensembl. NCBI's taxonomy places the organism in Eukaryota, Metazoa, Chordata, Aves, Galliformes, Phasianidae.
AUCUCUAUUUAGAGACUGCUUCUUUCUGGUAUUUUUCUAGGAAGCACUUAUCUUUGGAGCAAGUUUUAAAGUAUUAUAUCUCAGGCUGGAGAAAUGGUCAGGCUGAAACUUCAUUAUGUUCAACAAGGACAAGGGCAAUGACCUGCAUCUGGAGAGGAACAACCCCGCACACGCAUAUAUGCUGGAGACUGCUCAGCUGGAAAGCAGCCUUGCAGAAUAGGACCAGCAGGUCCUCGUGAACAUGAAGUUGAACAUAAUGCAAUGAAGAGUGACAAGGACAUGUUGGUGAGACUGUCCCUAGCAGGUCAAGGGGAGUCAUCCUGCUUCUCUACUCAGCACUGAUGAUGCACAUCUUAAGUGUGGCAUACAGCAGUGGGUUCCCAGAACUGGAAAGACAGUGAAGUGACUGAACCAUAUCUUCUAUGGGGAAAGGCUGAGAGAGUUGGGGACUGUUUGGAGAAGGGAAAGCUCAUGGAAAAAUCUGUCUGGUGUGUAUAAAUACCUAAAGGGAGGGUGCAAAGAAAAUGGAGCCAGGCUCUUCUUCGUGGUGCCCUGUGUCAGGAUAGGAGGCAAUAGUUAUAAACUGACAAGCAGGAUGUUCCCUGUUACCAUGAGGAAACACUUAUUUUCUUUGAGGGUGACUGAGCCCUGGGGGCAUGUUGCCCAGACAAGCUGUGGUGUCUCUGUCCUUGGAGAUGUUCAAAAGCCAACUGGAUGUGGUACUGGGCAACUGGCUCUGAGUGGCUUUGCUGGGACAGGGGCUGUACAGGUGGCCUCCACCCUUAGUGACUCUGACUCUGUGCAGAAGGCUGGAGAGCAUAUGGGAAGGUCCUUACAGGUUAACACCCACGUGCAAUUUUCCCUUGCUGUGAGAAGGUUGCAGUGCAUGCAACUCUGCUGACUUUAGCUGUUGCUUUAGGAGUCAGGGAGUCAGAAUCACAAACAGAGCCUUGUUAUCUACAGGUCAGGUGCAACAUUUUAUUUUAUUGUUUGACAGAGGCAGUUUCUAUGGGUAUUGUGUAUUUUUCUACUGUAAGUCAACUAAUUGCUGAAAGCUAUGUUACACAGUAAUCAGGAGAGGCUCUAUGAGAAGUAGCUGAGGCAUCUGGCUUCAUCAGCCUGGACAAGAGAUGAUCUUGGCAGGCUGUAACAGUGCUCUCAGUAUCUCAAGAAGGCUAUUAAUAGGCAAGAGCCAGGAUGUUCGCAGUAAUGUGUGGUGGAAGGACAAAAGACAACAGGAGUAAGCUUAAAGGAAAGGCUGAAAUUAAGAAUAUUUUUCCCUCUAAGGGCAGUCUAGCAACGGGACAGCUUGCAUGGAGAGGUUGUGCAGUUUCCAUUUUUGGAUGUUUUCAAGGCCAGUGUGGAUCUUCCAUAACUUUUUUUGACCUCAUGUUUACCUGCUUUGAUCAAGAGGUUGAACCACAAAUGUUCUGAGGUUCCGUCUGAUCUGAACUACUCCAGGAAACAGAACGAUUGAGAUGAACCUUCUAGAGGAGCAUAAGUAUAUCAGUAGCCAUCGUGCUACUACUUGAGUGAGCCUAUAGGGAGGACCAAUGCUGACCAAUUCCAAAUGAUGCCUCUUACCAGACCAAGGUUUGCUGAGAUAAAGGACUAUUUGCCCACAGGAAAUUCACAAUGCUGGGUCAUCAUAUUUAUUUAUUUAUUUGUAAUUGCUCAGUAAUUUCUUACCAUUUGCAUGGGAAUUGCUAGGUCAUGGCCUGAACCGAUGACUGAGCACCUGGUGAGAAGGUGUGGCUAACCCAGGGAGCUCGGGUGCAAGCAGAGUUCCUAAGAGACUGGAAUAGGUGGACCUGGGGUCCCCCCCUCCUUACCCUCAUUUAAGAGUUAGCAGCUGAGGGAGCAACAUCUACCUUCAUAAACUGUGUUCUUCUCAAGAUGUCACCAGUCUUUGGAAAGGAUGAGACACCUUCUAUACUGUGUUCUAAAUUAAAUCUUAACAAGUACCUU